UACGUAGGGGGCGAGCGUUGCCCGGAAUUAUUGGGCGUAAAGGGCGCGCAGGCGGCCUGAUUAGUCGUGGGUGAAAUCGUUCGGCUUAACCGAGCGGGGUCCUGCGAAACGGUCGGGCUGGAGCAAGGCAGGGGGUCGUGGAAUUCCCGGUGUAGUGGUGGAAUGCGUAGAGAUCGGGAGGAACACCAGUGGCGAAGGCGGCGACCUGGGCCUGUGCUGACGCUGAGGCGCGAAAGCGUGGGGAGCGAUCCGG
Molecule: ribosomal RNA, 253 nt
Filed under: uncultured bacterium
Lineage: Bacteria
Description: partial 16S ribosomal RNA
Rfam family: Bacterial small subunit ribosomal RNA
Source: RNAcentral